Molecule: ribosomal RNA, 462 nt
Filed under: uncultured Desulfuromonadales bacterium
Lineage: Bacteria; Pseudomonadati; Thermodesulfobacteriota; Desulfuromonadia; Desulfuromonadales
Description: bacterial SSU rRNA
Rfam family: Bacterial small subunit ribosomal RNA
Source: RNAcentral
CCCGCACAAGCGGUGGAGCAUGUGGUUUAAUUCGAUGCAACGCGAAGAACCUUACCUAGACUUGACAUCCCGGGAAUCCUUAGGAAACUAAGGAGUGCCUUUCGGGGAGCCCGGAGACAGGUGCUGCAUGGCUGUCGUCAGCUCGUGUCGUGAGAUGUUGGGUUAAGUCCCGCAACGAGCGCAACCCUUGUCAUUAGUUGCUACAUUCAGUUGGGCACUCUAAUGAGACUGCCGGUGACAAGCCGGAGGAAGGUGGGGAUGACGUCAAGUCCUCAUGGCCCUUAUAGGUGGGGCUACACACGUCAUACAAUGGCUGGUACAAAGGGUUGCCAACCCGCGAGGGGGAGCCAAUCCCAUAAAGCCAGUCGUAGUCCGGAUCGUAGUCUGCAACUCGACUACGUGAAGUCGGAAUCGCUAGUAAUCGUGGAUCAGAAUGUCACGGUGAAUACGUUCCCGGGUCUU